RNAcentral lists this ribosomal RNA (484 nucleotides) under uncultured bacterium. RNAcentral describes it as "partial 16S ribosomal RNA". It matches the Rfam family "Bacterial small subunit ribosomal RNA", at positions 30 to 507 of the family's 1533-position model. The record is from RNAcentral.
AUUGAACGCUGGCGGCAGGCCUAACACAUGCAAGUCGAGCGGAUGAAGGGAGCUUGCUCCUGGAUUCAGCGGCGGACGGGUGAGUAAUGCCUAGGAAUCUGCCUGGUAGUGGGUGAUAACGUCCGGAAACGGGCGCUAAUACCGCAUACGUCCUGAGGGAGAAAGUGGGGGGUCUUCGGACCUCACGCUAUCAGAUGGGCCUAGGUCGGAUUAGCUAGUUGGUGGGGUAAAGGCCUACCAAGGCGACGAUCCGUAACUGGUCUGAGAGGAUGAUCGGUCACACUGGAACUGAGACACGGUCCAGACUACUACGGGAGGCAGCAGUGGGGAAUAUUGGACAAUGGGCGAAAGCCUGAUCCAGCCAUGCCGAGUGUGUGAAGAAGGUCUUCGGAUUGUAAAGCACUUUAAGUUGGGAGGAAGGGCAGUAAGUUAAUACCUUGCUGUUUUGACGUUACCAACAGAAUAAGCACCGGCUAACUUCGUG